Molecule: long non-coding RNA, 106 nt
Organism: Amphibalanus amphitrite
Lineage: Eukaryota; Metazoa; Arthropoda; Thecostraca; Balanomorpha; Balanidae
Exons: 3
Source: RefSeq, a predicted model, not a curated record
CUGCUGGUGACGGCGAUCUCCCAGCAGCUGGAGGCAUCUCAGCGCCGAGGUGAUGUGUGUAUUGGUGACUGUUCUGAGAAGGUUGUUUUGUUCUUGAGAGGGGAGG